Molecule: ribosomal RNA, 493 nt
Filed under: uncultured bacterium
Lineage: Bacteria
Description: bacterial SSU rRNA
Rfam family: Bacterial small subunit ribosomal RNA
Source: RNAcentral
CGUACGAUACGAGUUUAUCCUGGCUCAGAAUCAACGCUGGCGGCGUGCCUCAGACAUGCAAGUCGAACGAUUAAAGCUCUCUUCGGAGAGUGUAUAGAGUGGCGCACGGGUGAGUAACACGUAAGUAAUCUACCCUCGAGUGGGGAAUAACAACCGGAAACGGUUGCUAAUACCGCAUAAUGCAGCGGCACCGCAAGGUGACAGUUGUUAAAGAUUUAUCGCUUGAGGAGGAGCUUGCGGCAGAUUAGCUAGUUGGUAGGGUAACGGCUUACCAAGGCUACGAUCUGUAACCGGUCUAAGAGGACGGUCGGUCACACUGACACUGAAUAACGGGUCAGACUCCUACGGGAGGCAGCAGUCGGGAAUUUUGGGCAAUGGGCGAAAGCCUGACCCAGCAACGCCGCGUGAAGGAUGAAGUAUUUCGGUAUGUAAACUUCGAAAGAAUAGGAAGAAUUAAUGACGGUACUAUUUAUAAGGUCCGGCUAACUACGUG